RNAcentral lists this ribosomal RNA (365 nucleotides) under uncultured bacterium. Its description in RNAcentral is "partial 16S ribosomal RNA". It matches the Rfam family "Bacterial small subunit ribosomal RNA", at positions 338 to 696 of the family's 1533-position model. The record is from RNAcentral.
CCUACGGGUGGCAGCAGUAGGGAAUUUUCGUCAAUGGGCGCAAGCCUGAACGAGCAAUGCCGCGUGAACGAGGAAGGUCCUCGGAUCGGUAAGUUCUGUUGAAGGGGAAAAAGAGCGGAGAGAGGAAAUGCUUUCUGAUUGAUAUUACCCUUCGAGGAAGUCACGGCUAACUACGUCCCAGCAGCCGCGGUAAUACGUAGGUGGAGAGGUUUACCCGGAUUGAUUGGGAGAAAGGGGUGCGUGGGCGGCCUGCUAAGUCUGGAGUGAAGGGUACCGGGUCAACCGGUACAGGCUCUGGAAACUGGCGGGCUAGAGAGCAGGAGAGGGCGGUGGAACGCCAUGUGUAGCGGUAAAAUGCGUAGAGA